This 1153-nucleotide long non-coding RNA is filed under the name Mus musculus (house mouse). Its description in RNAcentral is "long non-coding RNA chr10:81233189-81234342". Lineage: Eukaryota; Metazoa; Chordata; Mammalia; Rodentia; Muridae. The record is from RNAcentral.
AUGGCGGCUAGCAGCUCUUCCGGCCUCGCGCAGGGCACCAACCCGUCGUCCAGGUAACGAGCCCCGUGGGCGGCGAGGCGCCCCAACCCCGCGGGACUCGGUCGUGAGUCACGGGGAGCGGGGCGGGCCCGAGGCGGGGCGACGGCCCCUGGGGUCCGCGGGAGGGCGGGGCGGGGAGUCCGGGGAGUGACAGGCAGGGUGGGGGCGGGGACCCCGUGGGGAUAGGGCUAGCCUAGGAGGGACCGACCUGGAUGGGUAGGGUGGGGACCGAGGAUGGAGGACAGAGUUGGGGGAGGGGACUGACCUCAGAGAGGACCUGAGACCUUGGGGAACCUUCCAAGCGGGAAUAGGGUGGGGUGUUCUGGCCCCUGAUGGAUAGAAUUGGAGUUUUUGGUGUCUGAUGUAUGGGGGAAUCCUCCAGGCAGGGAUGGAGUCAGAGUUCUGGUUCCUGAUGGAUGGAGGACCCUCGAGACGGGGAUGGAGUCUGGGGUUCUGAUGUCUAGUGGAUGGGGGACCCUCCAGAUGGGCCUGAAUUGGGGGUUCUAAUCCCUGAUGAAUGGGGGACCCUCCAGGUGAGUAUGGAUUGGGGGUUCUGGUGUCUGACAGAUGGGUUACCCUCUAGACAGGGAUGAAUUUGGGUUCAGUCCCUGAUGGAUGGGGGGCUCUCCAGACGAGGAUGGGGUCUGGGGUUCUGUGUCUAAUGGAUGGGGGGCUAAGCUAGGCAGGGUAAAGUGAGCCUCUGGUCUUUGGAAGUCAGUAAAGCACAGGCAAGUGGCACAGGCUUCCAAUCCAAUCUUUGAAGAGAGAAGCUGAGGCAGUGUGUGUGUGUCUAAGUUCAGGGCUAGCCUGAGCUACAGUGAGUAUGAGGCCAGGCUGAAGAACUAAAGGAGAUGUUGUCUCUAAAUAAAAGGCCACAUGAAUAAUGUCCGUGCCAAGUGGAGAGAAGGCGCUUGGCUGUGUGUGAGGAGUUGGGGGCUGACGGCUGGGGACGAGUGUCCUCUUCACUCAGUGGCUUGGUUAGGGUUACAGUUGCAGUGAUAACACACCCGGGCCAAGAGCUGGUGAGAGGGUCACUGUGGGGACCAGAGUUCCAGGUCUGUAAGUCAGGCAAGUCCACUGCCGUAGCACAACACACACAAAUAUACAAAUGAUG